Molecule: non-coding RNA, 6001 nt
Organism: Triticum urartu
Lineage: Eukaryota; Viridiplantae; Streptophyta; Magnoliopsida; Poales; Poaceae
Source: RefSeq, a predicted model, not a curated record
CGGCUGGCUCGCUUCUCGUUCGCCCCCUUCGUUCCCUUCUCUCUGUCUCUCCUCCCCCAUCCCCCUCAAUCCGAAUCUUCCCCCGGAACCCAAUCCAUGGCGCCGCAGCGCUCGCUGCCCUCGGCCUCCUCACGCCGCCGCCGCUCGUCCUCCACGACUUCCCCCGCGUGCGUUCUCCUCUUCCUCUCCUCUGCGCCACGCCGGCUUCCGAUCCCGCGCCUCCAACCCCUGAUCCAUCGACGCUGCCGGAAUGCCCUUCGGCGGAGAGAAGGCCCAGGGCGACACCGGCCCCCAAUCCCAUGCGUCGAGCCCCUGCUUCGUGCAUGGUGCUGGAGCACCCUUCAGCGCCGAGGAGGCGCAGCGCGACAAGGCCGCCGCCGGCGUCGGUGCUCCCUGGCGCGACACGACCUCCGCCGGCGUCGGUUCUCCAAGCACAUCCACUCCGACGACGCCCAGGUCCUCUCUAGUUGUUGUUUGUUCCGUUUGUCGAAGCUUCGGCCAGCCUGCUGUUCGUUGCCGUGUCGAGAUGUUGCAAGGUUAAAAUGGCAUGGACGAGUACUCAUUUAUUCAUGGAGCUAGCGCAGAGCAUCCUUUUUUGAUAGAGGGAUUUGGGCAUCAAUCCUUGGCCUUGCUCCUGAUUAUGUAUGGGAAGUGGGAGUGCUAAUUAGGCAUUGGAUGUAUACUUUGCCUAUGAAGAUUAGUGGAACUGCUCAAAUUUACCUCAAAUAUAGUUACAAGGUUACAUUCUUCUUCACUUAUAUAUGCUCUUUUUUAUGCACUCUUGUUUCAUUUAUGGAUUUGGUGUAUCCUCAAGUAUGUAAAUCCACAAGGUAUAUAAUUGGUACAGGAUUAAGCACAAAUUAUUGAGAGCUGAUGCUGAACAAUGCACUUGAACUUUGAGCGAUCUGUCAGCCAUUGUUCAAAUAACAUCUUUAUGUGCUUAGGAUUAGGAGGAUAUAUAUGAACCCAACUUCGACACAGGUUUUGCAUUGGCUGCAUAGGCCGCUGCCCCGUUUAUUAAGUUUGCUAUCCAUCUUACUCACAUUGUUGGUUGUGGCUGCCAUCAUCAUUAUAUUACAGGUUCUUCAUUUCCUUCUGUUGUGCCACCCUGCAUUCUUAACUAUAUGCUCUUUAUGGAAAUCAUAGGUUAAUGAAAAAGGCUAUCUCAUUGCAGGAGACAUGUUCAUUUUUUUUGAAGGAUAAACUCUUCAUGCCCCAACUACAACAAGAGGAGAUAGCUCAAGAUGCACUUUUGGUAUUGUUCUGCAAUCUGUUUACACAUCCGGGACUGCUGUUGUUGUUGCUUGUGGUUGUCUCAUGAUCUUGGCUGUUGGUGGCUGGUACCAGCUCAGGUGCUACUCUAUUCUUGUCGCUUCCUUCAUGCCUUUCUAUACGCACGCACGCUCGAUCUUUUUUCUUUUGUAUGAUGUUAUCCUAGGAUAUUGUUGUUGGAACUGCUGUUAUUGUUGCUACGGGUUGCUCAUGAGCUUAGUUACAUUUUUAGGUUGCCCUGCUGGAUGCCAUUUUUAGGUUGUUGUGUACCUACGGAUAGUUCGUUGUUCUGCAAUACCAUAUUUAGUCUCACUUUGUUUACAUGAUUGCUGCUACAUUCCGGAAACAAUGGUCUGUUGGUUGCAGAAUUAUAGUGGCUAGCUGGGACAACUAAUUCAUUUCUUGGUCUUGAUCAAAGAUAACUGGAUUAUUGCCCUGCUUUAUCCAGAAAUAUGAGACGAAGGGAGCCACCGGCGCUCUCAGCGGUUAGCGCAUUUUGACCAUUGGAUCAAUUUGCUUGAUGGGUUUCUGGGCGUCCGAUCGAGCGGUGGAAGGACGUCGGCUGUCGGAUCGAAUCCCCCUCCCUUGUAGCAUGGUUGAUCCCGUUUGGCUUGCCCCGUUGAUUACUCCUUCCGUUGACCGGUUGUCGCUGACCUGGGGGGUCCCGGCGGGUGGGCCGCGCCCGUCAGCGAGCGGGUGUGCGGGUGCAGCCUGUGCGUUCAGUCGUGCGCGCGCCUGCGGUAAAUAUCUCGUGCCACCGCACGUAAAUCUUGCCCCCCGCCGAGGGCUUUUUCGUCAUUUCCUGUCCAGGCCGCGUGCGUGGUGGACGGUGGUUGGCUCCGUGCGGCUAUGUGGUGGGGGAGGGCGGCUGGCUCGCUUCUCGUUCGCCCCCUUUGUUCCCUUCUCUCUGUCUCUCCUCCCCGUCCCCCCCAAUCUGAAUCAUCCUUGGCCGCUUUGGUGCCAUUGGCAUUCAUGCUCGUCGGUGGGAUGGUGCAAGGCGCAACUCAGACAUGGUUCCUCACCGGUUGGACGGCGUUCAGGCGAAACCCCGGUGCCCACUGAGUACUGCCUUGGCUACAACCUCCCUCGGUGAGCUCCAUCUUCCCCUGCUCUGCUUAGGCUAUUGUAUGGGACAUGGCCAGGCUAUGAUGAUCAGUUAUGGAUGAUAUAGGCAUGCUCUCGAGUAAUCGAGGCACUUGUGGGUGUUAAUUUGGAUCCUCCGUCGUUUCUUUGAACUGUUUUGAUCAUGUUCUCAUUUUAGUGACUCUGUCCUUGGAUGGUCAUUUCUGAUGAGUGAUAACCAAGGCAGUUUCACCCUCGUAAGAACAUAUUGAUCUGGUGAUCCAUCCAGAAAUAAGACCCGCGACAAGUUCCCUGGCUCCUCGGAUCUCAGGCACUUUUGGCCGUCGGAUCGAUUUCCUGAUGCGAUUCUGGCCGUCGGAUCUCGAUCCGGAUUGAUCUCGGCCGUUGGAUCGAGCCCGAGCUCCUAUAGCAAUGAAUAGUUACUCCCGCGGUGAGAUAUCUCGUGCCACCGCGUUUGAAUCACGUGCCCCGUCGGUCGGAAGCCAUUCUUGCUAGGGCGAUGAUGAUUAGCCAUGGCUGAAAUAAGUGUGCCUUUGAGCAAUCGAGGCACCUGUGGGUAUCAAGUUGGAUCCUUCCUUGUCUAUAGAAUCCUUUUUGAUCCUGUGAUACUUAUUGUUCUGUCCUUGGAUGGUCAUUCUUGUUGAGUGAUAACCAGGGCAGCUCCACUGUAUAAACAGAUUGAUCUGGCGAUAGGAGAUGAUGGGGGUAGAUUAUAUGAUCGAGGAAAGGCGAAUCUGAGCCCACUAUGCAUGGAACCCCGAACCCUUUUUAUUUGUAUUUAAAGGUGUUGCUUAUUUAUGCUCCAGUGUUUAUAGUCGUCUUAUGUAAAUAUUUCUUCUCUCUCAUACCUUUGUUGCAUAUACGUUGUUCUUGAUCUUUUAUUGUUUGUUGUUGGUCCUUGAUCUAAUCUGGUUAAGAGUAAGUUGCACUUUGUUAUUCUGGGAUAAGCGAUGGUUCGCAAUGCUAUUGGUUCUUCAUGAGUUCAGAGGAGGAUUUCUGAUAUGAGUCAUGCCAGUAAGCUUUCUUGCAGGUACCCACACUUCUCUCUUCCUCCUGAUUAGCCUGUUCUCUUUUCUAUACGUGUCUACAAGUUGUGUGUCUACAAGCUGUGAAUUACAUAUUGCAGGGAUUUAUUUAUUUUCUUUCCGGAGCCGCGCCGCCGCCCUGUGACCAGAAGCAUUGGGGAUCUCGAGAGGGAAUUUUGCAGUUGUGGCCAUUUUAAAAAUAGACCUCUGUGAAAUCUAUGUACUCCUGAUACUAUUAUAUCAUGCUACAUUUCCUGUGAUAUAUCAAAUAUCUAUCCUUUGUCCUAAACAAGAGGCCUUACGUUUAUACUGAGCAAUACUAAUUUGGUCAGUAUAUAAUAUUGCAAUGCUUAUAACCCUUUGGUCAGUGACCCAUCUGAAUUGAGAUGCAUCAUAAUUAUCUUAAUAUUAUUUGUUCUGUUUCUUACUCACUGAUCCAUUCCACACAACAAGUAUUCUUCCUGAGAACUAUGCUCAGAUAGUUGAAUAUAUUAUUUUGUACUUAAUUGUUGAAAGAUGGAUUUGUAUUACUAAUGCUGAGAUGGGCAUUACAAUUUUCUUUCAAGGGAACAGACCAAACCAAACUGCGACUUUAUUUGUAAAUAUUUGAAAUUUAUAUUAUGUAUCUUAUGUGAUCUCAGAGGACUUAAUUUUUGUGUGGGGACCUCAAGCUACCUUUAGUGACUUACAAGCUAUCAACCAACAAGAGUUUUCCCUGCUUUUGGAGCCUGCUAAGCUAUCAACAAACAAAGAGGUACUAUGCUGAGACUGAAGAGGAGGCUAGCCAGCGGCCCAUCUCUCUUGCCGUCACCGCUGAGCCGCCAUGUCUCCUUCAGAGGCUUAUUGUAUUGCUACAUGUUUAUGCUUCUUAUCCACUCACCCAUUGUAGUGUAGGUCUGUUGCGGCAAUUGAAUGCUUCAAAGGAUUUUAAUGGAGUUCAUUGUGGCUGAGUCGUGAAUCUCCAGCUUGCUUCCAUGUCUUUUCUCACUAGAGACACCUCCUGCCGGCGAUGGCGAUGACCGCUACCCUGCUCCUCUCCCGGCAAAGGCAUGUCUACCUCUCCUGUGAAGUUGGCCAUGUUUGCCUCUUCCUUCAGUUUUUCCUCUGUUUUUUGUUACACGACUUUGUGGUGCUUAGUGUAUAUAUCAUUCCCCCCUGUCCAUUGAUUGAACAACUCUGCUACAUGUGAUUGCAUUAGCAAACUCCAUUUUUGUUUAUGUAGAAAAACAAAGGAGGCUCCAUUUUUAUGUAUGUGGAAAAAACAAAGGAAACUGCAUUUUUGUGUAAUUACAAACAAAUGAAACUCCAUUUUUGUGUAAUUACAAACAAAUGAAACUCCUUUUUUGUGUAAUUACAAACAAGAGACUUUUAGACGGCGAAGACUGCUGCCCUGAUCCUAAGAGCCUACUGACAUUUCACCAAAUCUUGUUAUAAUUUUUUUAUCAGCAGCAGAUACUUUUAAAUUUGUCUUUACAAUUCCAAGUACAUGAGCAUACUGAUCCUUCUAUUUUUGAUGUAGCAGAACAAACGUUCGUAAUUUAUACACCUAGGCUCAGCUUCUCUAUAUUGAUACGAAGGCCUGGAGCGUUUCUUUGUUCCACGCCUUACAAAAACGAGCAAGGCUUAUAUAAUAUUUCUGGUUCCCUUCUACUGUGUGCAAACAGAACUUGGCGGCGCAAUAGCAGCUCAACUACUAUUGUUAUUAAUCAGGAUAAAUGCUUCUGCCUGGCUGGCACACAUGCUUAGGCACAACAGUCUGCUCCAGCACCGCAGGGCAAGGCGCGCUGCAGGUCAUUUAUAUAGCAUCUCCUCAUUUGUAUAUUAUUCACAUAUAGCAUCUCAUUUCUUGGUUGAUUGCUUACAUGUAUUCAACUUCUGCCUCUUUCGCUCCUAAGCUGGCCUCCCUCUCCUCGGUGCUCAGCGGGAGAAGCAUGAGGUGAUGCACCUUUGACCCCGUAGUGCUCGGCUCCAAUUCAUCAGGGAGGCCACUGGCAAGCAUCAAGCUGCCCUUGGUGCUUCCUCGUCAUCAAGGAGGAGGUCGGGUAGCACCGUCCUCAAGGACAGGCACAACCGCGACACCGCAGAGAUGGACGAGAUUGUGGUGCUGCUCCUUCUUGUGGUGUAUGCAUCAGCGUGGGCAAUGCUAUUUGAAGACCAUUCAAGUGAUUUAAAGGAGAAGAUGUCCAGACUGUAAGGAGGUUGAAGAUGACGAUCAAAAGAUUGACAUAUUAAGCGACUGCCAAGAAGCCAAUAAUGCUUGCCCCCUGCCAUUAGUAAUACCCUUGCUUCUUUAUGAAAUCUUUCCUAACUAUCGUUGCAGAUUGUGAGAUCCCUAUUUAAAUACAUUACUCAGCAGCUGGCCGGUACAGAGUUGCGUGGCAGGCAUAUGUGUUCUCAGCCACCUUAUCAAUUGUAGGCUUAGAAUGAUUUGCUUCGUCCAAGUGUUGUUUGUCAACAAUUCCUUUGUUUGUCCAUGUCAAUUCUGAUUUUAGAGGAUACAUAUGUUUUGGUAGGAAGUGUAUUGUUCUUAUGUUUUUUCCUGGUAUGUACUGACUGAUGCAGUAACUGAUGCUUCAGAUUAUGAAAUCCCUAUUAAAUGAAUCGCUCGGUAAUUGUUUGUA